AACCGAGGCAUGUUGACAGUGUUUUGUAUGUGGAUUUCUAUGGUAUAUCCACCGUCAACAAGAUCCCCCAAGCUUAACCUUUGCUCGUCCCGAGCAAACAAUCAAACUUAGCCUCGGUGGAUCAGGUAUUGUUACUAUGUUCACAUUUCAAGAGUACCAUGUGUACAACAAAGUUCUUCUCUUUGCAUGAAAAAUUUAGCUAUGUAAACUUACCCCUAUUACCUUAGUCCCUUAUGGGGCUUAUGGCUUUUCCUUUGUCUUAGGUGGUUGAGAGACAGAACAGUUUGACUUGAGCACUAACUUUCUCAUUCUUAGCAAGUUUCAUAUCAGAGGUUUUGUGAUAUUUUCAAAAGAAAGCUUAAAUGUUCCUCUUAUGGUUCUCUCAUGUCACUCAAAUGGUGUAUGAUUCCUCACCAAGGCAUAUGGUAAGAGUUGCCUUCUCUAUUUCAUCCUAUUUCUAAAAGGCUUAUGUGGAAUUCAAGGUAGGGAUGAAAGGAGAUAGCAUACUUACUUUGCAUGUAUUGCGAAGUCAAAGCUCGGAUCCUUGAAGAGAAGUGUCAUACUCCCAGAUCAAGAUGUGCAAGUGUGAUAUAUGGUGGACUAGGUUGCUCCUUUAUUUGAUAGACUCUCUAUGUAUUGAGACAUGGCUAGCUUUUUUUUUAUAUAUGAGCUUUCAUGUGCUCAAUUUUCUUUUUCUGUGGACUUGCACAUGUCCAUCUUUUUAUUUCAUUUUGCCUAGCCUUUUGAUGUCUCAUUUACCAAAUAAUGCUUAGAGAGAUGUUCUAACAUUUAGAGUAUGGAGCAACCUAUUUAGUGGAUGUGAAAUACAUGUGGUUGCGUACUUCCAGUGUAGAAGCAGCAUAUAUAUAUGUGGUGUGUACGUGAUCUUGAUCUUAGGAGCAUGAAAAGUCUCUUAACAAGGGUCAACAAGACUUGACGACACUCAACACAAAGCAAAUAGCUUAUGUGGAAAGAUUGCAAUUAUGUAAAGUAGAUAUGGCUGUGGUAGGAAUUCAUCACCAUUGAGGAACAAUUAAGGUUUUGAUCAUUUUAAGAAUAAAUCUCUGAUAAUCAUGCAUGCUUAGAAAAAUAUUAUAGUAGCUCUUGUCUUACUAUCUCAUGUCCCACAACAACUUAGACUU
RNAcentral lists this long non-coding RNA (1142 nucleotides) under Sorghum bicolor (sorghum). RNAcentral describes it as "long non-coding RNA (SBIC_LNC006158)". Lineage: Eukaryota; Viridiplantae; Streptophyta; Magnoliopsida; Poales; Poaceae. The record is from RNAcentral.